RNAcentral lists this ribosomal RNA (602 nucleotides) under uncultured Enterococcus sp. Its description in RNAcentral is "bacterial LSU rRNA". It matches the Rfam family "Bacterial large subunit ribosomal RNA", at positions 243 to 849 of the family's 2925-position model. The record is from RNAcentral. Lineage: Bacteria; Bacillati; Bacillota; Bacilli; Lactobacillales; Enterococcaceae.
GUAGCGGCGAGCGAAACGGGAAAAGCCCAAACCAACAAGCUUGCUUGUUGGGGUUGUAGGACUCCAAUAUGGUAGUUUUUUCAGAUAAUCGAAUGACUUGGAAAAGUCAGUCAAAGAGGGUAAAAACCCCGUAGAUGAAGUUUGGAAGACACCUAGGAGGAUCCUGAGUACGGCGGAACACGAGGAAUUCCGUCGGAAUCCGGGAGGACCAUCUCCCAAGGCUAAAUACUCCCUAGUGACCGAUAGUGAACCAGUACCGUGAGGGAAAGGUGAAAAGCACCCCGGAAGGGGAGUGAAAUAAAACCUGAAACCGUGUGCCUACAACAAGUCAAAGCCCGUUAAUGGGUGAUGGCGUGCCUUUUGUAGAAUGAACCGGCGAGUUACGAUUGCAUGCGAGGUUAAGUCGAAGAGACGGAGCCGUAGCGAAAGCGAGUCUGAAUAGGGCGUUUGAGUAUGUAGUCGUAGACCCGAAACCAUGUGAUCUACCCAUGUCCAGGUUGAAGGUGCGGUAAAACGCACUGGAGGACCGAACCCACGUACGUUGAAAAGUGCGGGGAUGAGGUGUGGGUAGCGGAGAAAUUCCAAACGAACUUGGAGAUAGC